UUUGGUUAAUACCCAAGAUGAGUGGACGUUACUCGCAGAAUAAGCACCGGCUAACUCUGUGCCAGCAGCCGCGGUAAUACAGAGGGUGCAAGCGUUAAUCGGAUUUACUGGGCGUAAAGCGCGCGUAGGCGGCCAAUUAAGUCAAAUGUGAAAUCCCCGAGCUUAACUUGGGAAUUGCAUUCGAUACUGGUUGGCUAGAGUGUGGGAGAGGAUGGUAGAAUUCCAGGUGUAGCGGUGAAAUGCGUAGAGAUCUGGAGGAAUACCGAUGGCGAAGGCAGCCAUCUGGCCUAACACUGACGCUGAGGUGCGAAAGCAUGGGGAGCAAACAGGAUUAGAUACCCUGGUAGUCCAUGCCGUAAACGAUGUCUACUAGCCGUUGGGGCCUUUGAGGCUUUAGUGGCGCAGCUAACGCGAUAAGUAGACCGCCUGGGGAGUACGGUCGCAAGACUAAAACUCAAAUGAAUUGACGGGGGCCCGCACAAGCGGUGGAGCAUGUGGUUUAAUUCGAUGCAACG
This 515-nucleotide ribosomal RNA is filed under the name Acinetobacter baumannii. RNAcentral's name for it is "bacterial SSU rRNA". It matches the Rfam family "Bacterial small subunit ribosomal RNA", at positions 448 to 961 of the family's 1533-position model. The record is from RNAcentral. Lineage: Bacteria; Pseudomonadati; Pseudomonadota; Gammaproteobacteria; Moraxellales; Moraxellaceae.